AGAGAGAUCCAGGAGGUUCGCUCCCUUGCUUUCCACUCUUCCUCUUCUUUUCCUCCUCCUCCUCUUUCUCUUCUCCUGGCAGCUCCAUCCUCGUGUCCACUGAGGGACGGCACUUGAUGAACCCAGCAGGGACUGUUCUGGGGUGGAGUGGACAGUGAGUAGCUGAAAGGCAGAGGGGUGCCAUGUGAGGAGCCCCAGUGUAGCCUGUGGCAGCCGGCAGCAGCAGCAACAGCAGCAGUAGAAAGAGUGGGCUCUCCUGUCAUUCUCCCCGCAGGAACGGGCAUGGAAUUUACCUCCUCUGGCCACUUCUGAAAAGGAAACUCGCACCUCCCUAGCAUUUCUGGCUGGGGAAUGAUAUCCUAGCAGACCGGAUUUUGUACGCUUUCAAAGGAAAUUGAAUUUGAAAUCGGUCUCUGGGCAACCGUUUACAGUAUUUUUUCCAAAGAAUCUGGAGAGCCACAGUUCCAUCACCAUGAGGAGAGGCACAACGGGAGAUUUUGGAUCAAGGACGUGCCAGUCACCCUGAAGAGCAGAGUGGGACUACACUUUACGCUUGUGCAAAAAAGUCAUCGCACUCUUCCUCAGAGAACUCAUAUCGUUAACACACAUUCAAAGAACUGGAGAACAAGAGAUGUGUGCAGGACACUUGGAAUAUCUCGUCUUCUUGGAAUCGGUUGCCUUUUCCCACCAAUUGUCCUAAAAGAUAGAUUAACAAAGCUGGAUUUUGUCCAUUCUGUCCAUUUGAAAGCAAAAUCUUUUCUGAAGAAUAGAGCCUUUCCUUCUUUGGUCUGGAUUUUGUGUGGGUGUUCAAAGCGUACCACCACACGGGAUGACAAUCGUAGUGCCUCUUCCUUUUCAGUAGUCUCCUACAACUGAAUAUGAUCUUCUGGUGCACCUACACAUGCAAUAGGCGAAAAGUAUUCCACGGUCAACAGCAAGUAAUUUUAGUUCAGAUGUACCCAUAAAGGCAUAAAGGCACAAAGUCACAAAGACAUCAUGUAAUGACCCAUGAGACAUGUACCGGUCCAUUACCCUUGAUUAUUCUUAGUUUCACCGUUCCUGGAUCCACCACCUUUUUUGGUUUUCUUGGAUUUAAACUCUUCGAUGACUCCCGCACCUUCCCUUGUGCCCACUUCUUCCUCCAGACAUCCCACAGUGACCUGCGGGAGGAGGCUUGCCCCCAGGCCCCACCAGCUCUCCUGGCUGCCCGGGUGUUUUUAAGAUGUUGAAGCCUGCCCGAGCGGCCCGAGCCCGAGAUCGGAUCAGUAGCACUGCGGCUCC
Long non-coding RNA from Colossoma macropomum (tambaqui), 1281 nucleotides. RefSeq lists it as uncharacterized. The record is from RefSeq and is a predicted model, not a curated record. NCBI's taxonomy places the organism in Eukaryota, Metazoa, Chordata, Actinopteri, Characiformes, Serrasalmidae. The transcript is spliced from 3 exons.